Molecule: ribosomal RNA, 460 nt
Filed under: uncultured bacterium
Lineage: Bacteria
Description: partial 16S ribosomal RNA
Rfam family: Bacterial small subunit ribosomal RNA
Source: RNAcentral
CCUACGGGCGGCUGCAGUGAGGAAUAUUGGUCAAUGGGCGAGAGCCUGAACCAGCCAAGUCGCGUGAAGGAUGACUGCCCUACGGGUUGUAAACUUCUUUUGUCAGGGAGCAAUUGGGUCCACGCGUGGGCUUAGCGAGAGUACCUGAAGAAAAAGCAUCGGCUAACUCCGUGCCAGCAGCCGCUGUAAUACGGAGGAUGCGCGCGUUAUCCGGAUUUUUUGGGUUUAAAGGGUGCGUAGGCGGAAUAUCAAGUCAGCGGUAAAAUUUCGGGGCUCAACCCCGUCGUGCCGUUGAAACUGAUGUUCUUGAGUGGGCGAGAAGUAUGCGGAAUGCGUGGUGUAGCGGUGAAAUGCAUAGAUAUCACGCAGAACUCCGAUUGCGAAGGCAGCAUACCGGCGCCCAACUGACGCUGAAGCACGAAAGCGUGGGUAUCGAACAGGAUUAGAUACCCUUGUAGUC